GACCCUGGUAGUCCACGCUGUAAACGAUGUCGACUUGGAGGUUGUGCCCUUGAGGCGUGGCUUCCGGAGCUAACGCGUUAAGUCGACCGCCUGGGGAGUACGGCCGCAAGGUUAAAACUCAAAUGAAUUGACGGGGGCCCGCACAAGCGGUGGAGCAUGUGGUUUAAUUCGAUGCAACGCGAAGAACCUUACCUACUCUUGACAUCCACGGAAUUCGCCAGAGAUGGCUUAGUGCCUUCGGGAACCGUGAGACAGGUGCUGCAUGGCUGUCGUCAGCUCGUGUUGUGAAAUGUUGGGUUAAGUCCCGCAACGAGCGCAACCCUUAUCCUUUGUUGCCAGCACGUAAUGGUGGGAACUCAAAGGAGACUGCCGGUGAUAAACCGGAGGAAGGUGGGGAUGACGUCAAGUCAUCAUGGCCCUUACGAGUAGGGCUACACACGUGCUACAAUGGCAUAUACAAAGAGAAGCGAACUCGCGAGAGCAAGCGGACCUCAUAAAGUAUGUCGUAGUCCGGAUUGGAGUCUGCAACUCGACUCCAUGAAGUCGGAAUCGCUAGUAAUCGUAGAUCAGAAUGCUACGGUGAAUACGUUCCCGGGCCUUGUACACACCGCCCGUCACACCAUGGGAGUGGGUUGCAAAAGAAGUAGGUAGCUUAAC
RNAcentral lists this ribosomal RNA (657 nucleotides) under bacterium LB-19. RNAcentral's name for it is "bacterial SSU rRNA". It matches the Rfam family "Bacterial small subunit ribosomal RNA", at positions 783 to 1439 of the family's 1533-position model. The record is from RNAcentral.